AGAGAGAGCAGGGGAACCAGCGUGGGGGAGGGCUGUGAGGGAGUGAGCUGGUCUUGGGAGAGACAGAGAGAACUGAAGCUAAGGAGCAGAGAUUUCUUGGUUGGUUUUUGGAAAGGAAGGAGAGCUUGAAGACAAGUAAAUCUGGCUCGAGAGGAGACACUUUAGUUGUUCGAGAGAUGGUUCACAUAUUUCUGAUGCAAUGUUGGGUGACAUGCUUGACGCUACUCUUGCUGAUUCAAGCAAGUAUGAUUCUGAGUUGCACCAUCUCAUUGUUCAAAUGAGACAACUGCCCCUGCCAUUCCUUCGAGAGAAACAGCAGCUUCCAGCAUGUCAGGUCCAGAAUGCCGAAGCAGAUCCACCCAGAAAGCUAGAAAGUUGAAAUGCCCUUCAUUUCAGCUCAUUAAAAGGCUUAAAUCCCUUGGAACCCUAAUUCCCUACUACUACGAGCUUCACCCACUGUGAACAUGAGCAAAUGAACCAGCCUACACUAACACCGGAGACUUGGGGUUCAAUAAGUUCAAAAACUGAAGAUCUUGAUGCAAGAAAAAAGAAAAAAAAAAACAGUUGGACAGUCCCAAAACUGAAAAAGAAGAGGAAUUCCUUUGCUGUGGGGCUCACUUCCUCCGCCGCUCAUUUCCUAACAGCUUCUUUUCCAGCCUUCCCACGUGCAUGCAUGAACACCUUUCUCCUCCUCUAGAUGCUCCUUUUUUGGUGACUUACAGCUUUGAAUCAGAUUUUGAAACCUGUUUUCAACUAAAUAAUCCCAGCUUUAAAAAUUCACCUUCAGAUUUUCCUUAGGUAAUAAAAUGUUGAUUUGAAUAAAUCAUUUGCUGCCAUAUUUCUCUCCCGACAUCUAUUUUCAUAUUUUAUUUAUUUAUUUUUAACCUUUUUAUUAAUUUCCACAUUUUAAAUAUCAACACAUUUCUAUAAUUUCAAAGAUAAUGGAAUUUAUGAAAUUAAUUCAUACAAAAGUAAAUCCGAUAGGGCCCAACAUAUGAGACAUUUGCCUUUGCUCAUUCUUAUUGCUAUAUUUGAUUGGCUAUUGACUCAUUUUUUACGUUGAUAUGUGAUAUGCAUGUGAUUAUUUUAUACUUGUCUAUUAAUCAUGUUUUCAUGAUAGCACAUUAUUAAUUUAUUGGUUACGUAUGCAUCCUAUAUAUCCUC
This is a long non-coding RNA of Vitis vinifera (wine grape), 1164 nucleotides long. RefSeq lists it as uncharacterized. The record is from RefSeq and is a predicted model, not a curated record. The transcript has 2 exons. NCBI's taxonomy places the organism in Eukaryota, Viridiplantae, Streptophyta, Magnoliopsida, Vitales, Vitaceae.